This 459-nucleotide ribosomal RNA is filed under the name uncultured Lysinibacillus sp. RNAcentral's name for it is "partial 16S ribosomal RNA". It matches the Rfam family "Bacterial small subunit ribosomal RNA", at positions 341 to 792 of the family's 1533-position model. The record is from RNAcentral. Lineage: Bacteria; Bacillati; Bacillota; Bacilli; Caryophanales; Bacillaceae.
ACGGAAGGCAGCAGUAGGGAAUCUUCCACAAUGGACGAAAGUCUGAUGGAGCAAUGCCGCGUGAGUGAUGAAGGAUUUCGGUUCGUAAAACUCUGUUGUAAGGGAAGAACAAGUAACGUAGUAACUGGCGUUACCAUGACGGUACCUUAUUAGAAAGCCACGGCUAACUACGUGCCAGCAGCCGCGGUAAUACGUAGGUGGCAAGCGUUGUCCGGAAUUAUUGGGCGUAAAGCGCGCGCAGGUGGUUCUUUAAGUCUGAUGUGAAAGCCUCCGGCUCAACCGGAGAGGGUCAUUGGAAACUGGGGAACUUGAGUGCAGAAGAGGAUAGUGGAAUUCCAAGUGUAGCGGUGAAAUGCGUAGAGAUUUGGAGGAACACCAGUGGCGAAGGCGACUAUCUGGUCUGUAACUGACACUGAGGCGCGAAAGCGUGGGGAGCAAACAGGAUUAGAUACCCUGGUA